UGACCGAUAGUGAACCAGUACCGUGAGGGAAAGGUGAAAAGAACCGUGAAUAACGGAGUGAAAUAGAUCCUGAAACCAUACGCUUACAAGCGGUCGGAGCCCAUAUGGGUGACGGCGUGCCUUUUGCAUAAUGAGCCUACGAGUUACUUUUACUGGCAAGGUUAAGGACUUCAGGUCCGGAGCCGUAGCGAAAGCGAGUCUUAAUAGGGCGAACUAGUCAGUGGGGGUAGACGCGAAACCUUGUGAUCUACCCAUGGCCAGGUUGAAGUUCCAGUAACAUGGAAUGGAGGACCGAACUGAUAUACGUUGAAAAGUGUUCAGAUGAGCUGUGGGUAGGGGUGAAAGGCCAAUCAAACUAG
RNAcentral lists this ribosomal RNA (359 nucleotides) under Paraphysomonas imperforata. RNAcentral describes it as "partial Bacterial large subunit ribosomal RNA". It matches the Rfam family "Bacterial large subunit ribosomal RNA", at positions 481 to 841 of the family's 2925-position model. Lineage: Eukaryota; Chrysophyceae; Chromulinales; Paraphysomonadaceae. The record is from RNAcentral.